RNAcentral lists this long non-coding RNA (420 nucleotides) under Sarcophilus harrisii (Tasmanian devil). Its description in RNAcentral is "lncRNA (ENSSHAG00000030037.1)". Lineage: Eukaryota; Metazoa; Chordata; Mammalia; Dasyuromorphia; Dasyuridae. The record is from RNAcentral.
CUUAUCUGUAAGAUGAGGACGUCAGUCUACAUAACCUACGUGGAAGCAGGACUGUGGGUGAAGCCAUUUGUGACUGCUGGUUGAGUCCUCCAGAAAUGGUGAUGAUACAGGAUGGAAGAGGAGUCAGAUUCUGUCUGAUGAGUCUCUGGUGAAAGCUGUUAAGAAGCAAAGAUGUAAAUACAUUCAGAAGUGGAGAAACUCAACACUCAUCUCAGUUGAAUCUGAAGAUUCCUAUGCAAGAGGGCAGAUAGAAUCUUAUUCAUUUCCACUCAUGGAACAUAUGCCAACACUAUCAUCCAGUGGAUGCCAAGGAAAACCCUGAGUUCCCAGCACCUCUCAGGAUGUUUCAUGCCCCAGUGCAGCUCAACAAGCUGCUCUAUAGGCUGUUACUACCCUGUGGAAGCAGCUUCAUUAAAGGUA